UGAACGCUGGCGGUAUGCCUAACACAUGCAAGUCGUACGAGAGUUUUUAACUCUAGUGGCGGACGGGUGAGUAACACGUGAGAACCUACCCUAAGGAGGGGAAUAACAGCUGGAAACGGUUGCCAAUACCCCAUAUGCCGAGAGGUGAAAGGAUGUAUCCACCUUAGGAAGGGCUCGCGCCUGAUUAGCUAGUUGGUGAGGUAAUAGCUCACCAAGGCCAUGAUCAGUAGCUGGUUUGAGAGGACGAUCAGCCACACUGGGACUGAGACACGGCCCAGACUCCUACGGGAGGCAGCAGUGGGGAAUUUUCCGCAAUGGGCGAAAGCCUGACGGAGCAAUACCGCGUGAGGGAUGACGGCCUGUGGGUUGUAAACCUCUUUUCUCAAGGAAGAAGUUCUGACGGUACUUGAGGAAUAAGCAUCGGCUAACUCUGUGCCAGCAGCCGCGGUAAUCUGAUGGCGCGAGG
Molecule: ribosomal RNA, 466 nt
Filed under: uncultured bacterium
Lineage: Bacteria
Description: bacterial SSU rRNA
Rfam family: Bacterial small subunit ribosomal RNA
Source: RNAcentral